GGAUCGAUGAUGAUUUCCAAUAAAACAUUCCUUGGAAAGCUGAACAAAAUGAGUGAAAACUCAAUACCGCCACUAUAAUCGUGACUGAGGUCC
The sequence is a small nucleolar RNA, 93 nucleotides long. Its record names the gene SNORD116. It matches the Rfam family "Small nucleolar RNA SNORD116". Rfam says of the family: HBII-85 is a member of the C/D class of snoRNAs, which contain the C (UGAUGA) and D (CUGA) box motifs. HBII-85 is encoded in a tandemly repeated array with another C/D snoRNA, HBII-52, in the Prader-Willi syndrome (PWS) region of chromosome 15. The record is from Ensembl.